GAGUUUGAUCGUGGCUCAGAGCGAACGCUGGCGGCAGGCUUAACACAUGCAAGUCGAGCGGGCACUUCGGUGUCAGCGGCAGACGGGUGAGUAACACGUGGGAACGUGCCCUUCGGUUCGGAAUAACUCAGGGAAACUUGAGCUAAUACCGGAUACGCCCUUUUGGGGAAAGGUUUACUGCCGAAGGGUCGGCCCGCGUCUGAUUAGCUUGUUGGUGGGGUAGCGGCCUACCAAGGCGACGAUCAGUAGCUGGUCUGAGAGGAUGAUCAGCCACACUGGGACUGAGACACGGCCCAGACUCCUACGGGAGGCAGCAGUGGGGAAUAUUGGACAAUGGGCGAAAGCCUGAUCCAGCAAUGCCGCGUGAGUGAAGAAGGCCUUCGGUUG
RNAcentral lists this ribosomal RNA (387 nucleotides) under uncultured Alphaproteobacteria bacterium. RNAcentral describes it as "bacterial SSU rRNA". It matches the Rfam family "Bacterial small subunit ribosomal RNA", at positions 9 to 425 of the family's 1533-position model. The record is from RNAcentral. RNAcentral also lists the same sequence under 1 other name. Lineage: Bacteria; Pseudomonadati; Pseudomonadota; Alphaproteobacteria.